CUACGUGCCAGCAGCCGCGGUAAUACGGAGGGUGCGAGCGUUAAUCGGAAUAACUGGGCGUAAAGGGCACGCAGGCGGUGACUUAAGUGAGGUGUGAAAGCCCCGGGCUUAACCUGGGAAUUGCAUUUCAUACUGGGUCGCUAGAGUACUUUAGGGAGGGGUAGAAUUCCACGUGUAGCGGUGAAAUGCGUAGAGAUGUGGAGGAAUACCGAAGGCGAAGGCAGCCCCUUGGGAAUGUACUGACGCUCAUGUGCGAAAGCGUGGGGAGCGAACAGGAUUAGAUACCCUGGUAGUCCACGCCGUAAACGAUGAGUGCUAGGUGUUAGGCCCUUUCCGGGGCUUAGUGCCGCAGCUAACGCAUUAAGCACUCCGCCUGGGGAGUACGACCGCAAGGUUGAAACUCAAAGGAAUUGACGGGGGCCCGCACAAGCGGUGGAGCAUGUGGUUUAAUUCGAAGCAACGCGAAGAACCUUACCAGGUCUUGACAUCCCGAUGCCCGCUCUAGAGAUAGAGUUUUAYU
Molecule: ribosomal RNA, 520 nt
Filed under: uncultured bacterium
Lineage: Bacteria
Description: bacterial SSU rRNA
Rfam family: Bacterial small subunit ribosomal RNA
Source: RNAcentral